UGGGGUAUCGCCAAGCGGUAAGGCACCGGUUUUUGAUCCCGGCAUUCCCUGGUUCGAAUCCAGGUACCCCAGCCA
This 75-nucleotide transfer RNA is filed under the name Escherichia coli. Its description in RNAcentral is "tRNA-Gln". It matches the Rfam family "tRNA". Rfam says of the family: Transfer RNA (tRNA) molecules are approximately 80 nucleotides in length. Their secondary structure includes four short double-helical elements and three loops (D, anti-codon, and T loops). The record is from RNAcentral. RNAcentral also lists the same sequence under 2 other names. Lineage: Bacteria; Pseudomonadati; Pseudomonadota; Gammaproteobacteria; Enterobacterales; Enterobacteriaceae.